Molecule: long non-coding RNA, 1848 nt
Filed under: Homo sapiens (human)
Lineage: Eukaryota; Metazoa; Chordata; Mammalia; Primates; Hominidae
Description: HSALNT0042745
Source: RNAcentral
UGUGAUCUUCAUGCUGCUAAACACAAAGCGCUGUGCUAGCAGGAAGGUCUGUGAAGUUUGCAAUAAAGCCAUUAUGAAGUCAAGAAUGGAGGUUCCAUUUUUAAAGAACUCAGAGGGGGUAGAUCUUGAUUGACAUCUCAUCUGGGGUCACCUGGUCUUCAACUGAGAGAUCUUUUGGUUCGCCACGGAUGCCCCUUGCAGUUAUGGAAGUUCACUCUUUGAGAGAGAGAUAAAUAAACAUUAAAAUGUAAAGAAAAAAAAAAUCAGCAAUGGAAGGAAAAAGGAACAAAAAGCAAUCCAUUGGCGUCAAGCUUGACUGGACCACUCCACUGCUCUGCUGCCGUUAGUGAACCUGACCCUGCAGCAGGAGUCACAGACUCACCACUCACCUCAAGUCCUCACUCCCUGGACCCUCAAUCUACACAUCACUUUGUCUUUUAUUUCCCUGAGAAAUACAGGCCAUCAGUUUGCAGAUCCCUCCUUUCCCCUUACCCUGCAAAUCUCCAUCUAUUUGGAAAAGUGUGCCUCCUACAUUCCAAAGCUAACCCCUCCUCCUCUGCCACUAAUAUCAGCCCUACCUGCCUUCUUCUGUAACUUGCUCCAUUAAUUCCCUCCCCUCUCCCCCAGGUCUCCCUGCCUAUGAACAUAUUCAAGGACAUCAUAUCUUAAAAACAAACAAAUAUCAGGCACAAUGGCUCACACCUGUAAUCCCAGCACUUUGAGAGGUCAAGGCAGGAGAAUCACUUGAAUCCAGGGGUUCAAGACCAGCCUGGGAAACAUAGGGAGACCCUAUCUCUACAAAAAAUAUUUUUUAAAAAAAUUAGCCAGGUGUGGUGGUGUGCACCUGUAGUCCCAACUACUCAGAAGGCUGGGGUGGGAGAAAUAUUUCAGCCCAGGACGUCACUGUGCACAAUUGCUUUACUUUUUUUUCCCUUGGUAUAGACUUGUUGAAGAGUAAGCCUUCAUGUACUGUUUCCUCACUUUACAUUCACUCUCAACUGGAGACAAUAUAGAGUCUUCGCAGAUGCAGCUUUCUCCAGACCAACAAUGUGGUUAGACAUCUGGUUUUUCAUUGUUGUUGUUUGAUUUCUCUGACUAGCUUCCCUGACCAGAGGUCGUUUUGAGUUUCCUUCUCUGGAAUUUGACCACUGAGCAGAGACACAUAGGAGAGAAGACGUGAAUGCUGAGUCAUCAAUCAGCAUCACUGGGAAGAAAAAGCCUCUCAGUUUCUUCUGCUGGGACUCCCAGAGCUGGAGUAUUUUCUGCUCUUCCUAAGGCCUGAAUCUCACCUUGUCACCCAGGCUGGAGUGCAAUGGCAUAAUCUCAGCUCACUGCAACCUCUGUCUCCCAGGCUCAAAUGAUUCUCCUGCCUCAGCCUCCUGAGUAGCUGGGAUUACAGGCGCCCAUGGACUACCAGCUUUUUAAGUAGACUUUUUAGCCAAAGGCCAAGGGAAACUACCCUCUUCCUACUGGGGUUCAAAUUGAUUAAAAUGGUUUGCUUUGACUUUUGUUGAAGUCUCUUUAUUUUCUUUUUAAGAUUAUGUUAAAUUAUAAUCCACAUUGGCUUUCUUUUUACAGGUAAACUUUUUCUCUUCUAGAUUUCUAGACGGCCUUCCCCCACUUCGCUUCUCUCUCUGCCAUUUUCCUCCCCUCUCCCGCCUCCCCAAGUUAGAAGAGGCUGACAAAAAGAGGCUCAUCAAAGUUAAAUGUUGCCAACAUAAAUUGGUCCCUCUUCUCUUCCUUGAUGUGACUGGUCUCUCAACCUAUUGAUGGCAUCCAGUUCCAACUUUCCUCUUCUCAUUUGGGACAUUGGGAGGAGAGUAGUCUCUAUUUUUAAUAACAAAGUAG